Molecule: ribosomal RNA, 207 nt
Filed under: Theileria equi
Lineage: Eukaryota; Apicomplexa; Aconoidasida; Piroplasmida; Theileriidae
Description: partial small subunit ribosomal RNA
Rfam family: Eukaryotic small subunit ribosomal RNA
Source: RNAcentral
CCAGAGUAUCAAUUGGAGGGCAAGUCUGGUGCCAGCAGCCGCGGUAAUUCCAGCUCCAAUAGCGUAUAUUAAACUUGUUGCAGUUAAAAAGCUCGUAGUUGAAUUUCUGCUGUUUCGUUGACUGCGCUUGGCGUUUGUCAUCGUUGCGGCUUGGUUGGGUUUCGAUUAUUCGUUUCCCGGCGUUUACUUUGAGAAAAUUAGAGUGCU